RNAcentral lists this non-coding RNA (117 nucleotides) under Pan troglodytes (chimpanzee). Lineage: Eukaryota; Metazoa; Chordata; Mammalia; Primates; Hominidae. The record is from Rfam by way of RNAcentral.
GCCGGGCGUGGUGGCUCACGCCUGUAAUCCCAGCACUUUGGGAGGCUGAGGCGGGUGGAUCACCUGAGGUCAGGAGUUCAAGACCAGCCUGGCCAACAUGGUGAAACCCCAUCUCUA